CUGGCCUGGUUUUGUUCUUUGUUGUCUGGCAAGGAAGUCUUGAACUACAGAGAAAUGAUGUGCAGUUAUCUAUGACUUUAAAAAGGACUUUAAAUCUUAAAUGAACUCUAUAAUGUACAUUUGAGAAUGUAAGUUUUCCACUGAUUGAUUUUAAUAAGCAGGAGCUGCUUUGUGUGUGUUGUAUUUUUUGUAUUUUUCUCCAGUUUUGAUGGCAUGAUGGCAAGAUGUGUAACAGUUCUUCUGACUUUAUGCUACAUUAUGGACACAGUGGAACAUGGUCUUUGUCUAAAUAUGGUCAAGGAACUGGCUGUCACACGGGUGUCACCCAUUCAUGCAAGAGCAAAGAGAGAGACUGAUUUUCUUUAUACACUUGAAGCUGUGGUG
This is a long non-coding RNA of Thalassophryne amazonica, 384 nucleotides long. RefSeq lists it as uncharacterized. The record is from RefSeq and is a predicted model, not a curated record. The transcript has 3 exons. Lineage: Eukaryota; Metazoa; Chordata; Actinopteri; Batrachoidiformes; Batrachoididae.